RNAcentral lists this ribosomal RNA (405 nucleotides) under uncultured bacterium. RNAcentral's name for it is "partial 16S ribosomal RNA". It matches the Rfam family "Bacterial small subunit ribosomal RNA", at positions 28 to 526 of the family's 1533-position model. The record is from RNAcentral.
GUUGAACGCUGCGGCGGGCUUAACACAUGCAAGUCGAGCGAGCGGCGGACGGGUGAGUAAUGCUUAGGAGUCUGCCUAUUAGUGGUGGACAACAUCCCGAAAGGGAUGAUAAUACCGCAUACUAGUAGAUGAGCCUAAGUCGGAUUAUCUAGUUGGUGGGGUAAAGGCCUACCAAGGCGACGAUCUGUAGCGGGUCUGAGAGGAUGAUCCGCCACACGUGGACUGAGACACGGCCCAGACGCCUACGGGAGGCAGCAGUGGGGAAUAUUGGACAAUGGGGGGAACCCUGAUCCAGCCAUGCCGCGUGUGUGAAGAAGGCCUUAUGGUUGUAAAGCACUUUAAGCGAGGAGGCGUUACUCGCAGAAUAAGCACCGGCUAACUCUGUGCCAGCAGCCGCGGUAAUUC